UACGGGGGGGGCAAGCGUUGUUCGGAAUUACUGGGCGUAAAGGGCUCGUAGGCGGCCAACUAAGUCAGACGUGAAAUCCCUCGGCUUAACCGGGGAACUGCGUCUGAUACUGGAUGGCUUGAGAUUGGGAGAGGGAUGCGGAAUUCCAGGUGUAGCGGUGAAAUGCGUAGAUAUCUGGAGGAACACCGGUGGCGAAGGCGGCAUCCUGGACCAACACUGACGCUGAGGAGCGAAAGCGUGGGUAGCAAACAGG
This 253-nucleotide ribosomal RNA is filed under the name uncultured bacterium. Its description in RNAcentral is "partial 16S ribosomal RNA". It matches the Rfam family "Bacterial small subunit ribosomal RNA", at positions 524 to 776 of the family's 1533-position model. The record is from RNAcentral.